AGCAGCGUGGCUCAGUGGAAAGAGCACAGAAUUGGGAGUCAGAGGUCAUGGGUUCGAAUCCCAGCUCUGCCA
This 72-nucleotide transfer RNA is filed under the name Ornithorhynchus anatinus (platypus). It matches the Rfam family "tRNA". Rfam says of the family: Transfer RNA (tRNA) molecules are approximately 80 nucleotides in length. Their secondary structure includes four short double-helical elements and three loops (D, anti-codon, and T loops). Further hydrogen bonds mediate the characteristic L-shaped molecular structure. tRNAs have two regions of fundamental functional importance: the anti-codon, which is responsible for specific mRNA codon recognition, and the 3' end, to which the tRNAs corresponding amino acid is attached (by aminoacyl-tRNA synthetases). tRNAs cope with the degeneracy of the genetic code in two manners: having more than one tRNA (with a specific anti-codon) for a particular amino acid; and 'wobble' base-pairing, i.e. permitting non-standard base-pairing at the 3rd anti-codon position. Lineage: Eukaryota; Metazoa; Chordata; Mammalia; Monotremata; Ornithorhynchidae. The record is from Rfam by way of RNAcentral.